GAUGAAGAACGUAGCGAAAUGCGAUAAAUAAUGUGAAUUGCAGAAUUCAGUGAAUCAUCGAGUCUUUGAACGCACAUUGCGCCCCCUGGUAUUCCGGGGGGCAUGCCUGUCCGAGCGUCAUUGCUGCCCUCAAGCACGGCUUGUGUGUUGGGCCCCCGUCCCCCCCUCCCGGGGGACGGGCCCGAAAGGCAGCGGCGGCACCGCGUCCGGUCCUCGAGCGUAUGGGGCUUUGUCACCCUCUCUGUAGGCCCGGCCGGCGCCUGCCGACCACCAUCAAUCUUUUUUCAGGUUGACCUCGGAUCAGGUAGGGAUACCCGCUGAACUUAAGCAUAUCAAUAAGCGGAGGA
RNAcentral lists this unclassified non-coding RNA (347 nucleotides) under soil metagenome. Its description in RNAcentral is "partial contains 5.8S ribosomal RNA, internal transcribed spacer 2, and large subunit ribosomal RNA". The stretch from base 1 to 120 matches the Rfam family "5.8S ribosomal RNA", at positions 35 to 154 of the family's 154-position model. The record is from RNAcentral.